RNAcentral lists this ribosomal RNA (496 nucleotides) under uncultured bacterium. Its description in RNAcentral is "partial 16S ribosomal RNA". It matches the Rfam family "Bacterial small subunit ribosomal RNA", at positions 29 to 507 of the family's 1533-position model. The record is from RNAcentral.
AUGAACGCUGGCGGCGUGCCUAAUACAUGCAAGUCGAGCGAACAGACGAGGAGCUUGCUCCUCUGACGUUAGCGGCGGACGGGUGAGUAACACGUGGAUAACCUACCUAUAAGACUGAGAUAACUUCGGGAAACCGGAGCUAAUACCGGAUAAUAUAUUGAACCGCAUGGUUCAAUAGUGAAAGACGGUUUUGCUGUCACUUAUAGAUGGAUCCGCGCCGCAUUAGCUAGUUGGUAAGGUAACGGCUUACCAAGGCAACGAUGCGUAGCCGACCUGAGAGGGUGAUCGGCCACACUGGAACUGAGACACGGUCCAGACUCCUACGGGAGGCAGCAGUAGGGAAUCUUCCGCAAAGGGCGAAAGCCUGACGGAGCAACGCCGCGUGAGUGAUGAAGGUCUUCGGAUCGUAAAACUCUGUUAUUAGGGAAGAACAAAUGUGUAAGUAACUAUGCACGUCUUGACGGUACCUAAUCAGAAAGCCACGGCUAACUACGUG